AAAAUCUUUAAAAGACGGUAGAAGUAAAAAUCAUCUAUUAAAGAGAAUAGAAAAUUCCUUAGAUAUAGAUUAAAGUAAGUGCGGGAGGCGAACCCGGGGAAGUGAAACAUCUCAGUACCCGGAGGAGAAGAAAUCAAAAGAGAUUCCCAAAGUAGCGGCGAGCGAAAUGGGAAGAGCCCAAACCAGGUGCUUUCGAGUAUCUGGGGUUGUAGGGCCUCCGUGUUGCGAUCCAUGAGUAGAUAGCAGAAGUACCUGGGAAGGUACCCCAUAGAGGGUGAAAGGCCCGUAUGCGAAAUCGAAAGUGGCGCAGGAGGUACCUGAGUACCGCGGGACACGUGAAAUCCCGUGGGAAUCUGGGAGGACCAUCUUCCAAGGCUAAAUACUACCUGACGACCGAUAGCGCACUAGUACCGUGAGGGAAAGGUGAAAAGAACCCCUGUUAGGGGAGUGAAAUAGAACCUGAAACCGCAUGCCUACAAUCAGUCGAAGCUCUUUUUAGAGUGACGGCGUACCUUUUGUAUAAUGGGUCAGUGACUUAAUUUGUAUAGCAAGCUUAAGCCGAUUAGGUGGAGGCGCAGCGAAAGCGAGUCUUAAUAGGGCGUUUAGUUAUAUGAAUUAGACCCGAAAACGAAUGAGCUUACCAUGAGCAGGUUGAAAGUUGGGUAACACCAACCGGAGGACCGAACCAGUUGACGUUGAAAAGUCUUUGGAUGACUUGUGAUAAGGGGUGAAAGACCAACCAAAUUCGUAGAUAGCUGGUUUUCCGCGAAAACUAUUUAGGUAGUGCGUUGAAUAAACAGGCUUUUGGAGGUAGAGCACUAAAUGGGCUAGGGGAGAGAAAUCUUUACCAAACCUAAUAAAACUCCGAAUACCAAAAGUCAUUCCUCAACAGACAGACUGUGGGUGCUAAGGUCCAUGGUCGAGAGGGAAAAAGCCCAGACCACCAGAUAAGGUCCCCAAAUUAUGAUUAAGUGUGAAAGGAUGUGGAAAUUCCUUAACAGCCGGGAGGUUGGCUUAGAAGCAGCCAUCCUUUAAAGAUAGCGUAACAGCUCACCGGUCUAAUAGAGUUUCUGCGCCGAAGAUGUAACGGGGCUAAAAUCAUAUACCGAAUCUGUGGAUUUGUAAUUUCUUCGGAAAUUACAUCUGGUAGCGGAACGUUCUGUAAGCCUGUGAAGGAAUACCCGUGAGGGAUUCUGGAGGUAUCAGAAGUGCGAAUGCUGACAUAAGUAACGAUUAACAGAGUGAAAAACUCUGUCGCCGAAAAUCCAAGGGUUUCUGCGCAAGGUUAAUCCGCGCAGAGUUAGUCGGCCCCUAAGACAAGGGCGUAAGCCGUAGUCGAUGGGAACCAGGUUAAUAUUCCUGGACCAGAUGGUAGUGACGGAUUUUGUAAAUUGUUAACUCUUAAUGGAUUGAGUCAGCUGUGAAAAAGUCCCAGGAAAUAGCUCCAUCAUUAGACCGUACCCUAAACCGACACAGGUGGAUUAAUAGAGUAUAUUUAGGCGCUUGAGAGAAUGAUGUUGAAGGAACUCGGCAAAAUGCUUCUGUAACUUCGGAAUAAAGAAGACCUUUUUUUGGGCAACCAUUUAAAGGUGGCACAAGCCAGGGAGAAGCGACUGUUUAUCAAAAACACAGGGCUCUGCUAACACGUAAGUGGAUGUAUAGGGUCUGACGCCUGCCCGGUGCUGGAAGGUUAAUGCGAUGGGUGCAAGCUCAUUUCUGAAGCCCCAGUGAACGGCGGCCGUAACUAUGACGGUCCUAAGGUAGCGAAAUUCCUUGUCGGGUAAGUUCCG
Molecule: ribosomal RNA, 1790 nt
Filed under: metagenome
Description: bacterial LSU rRNA
Rfam family: Bacterial large subunit ribosomal RNA
Source: RNAcentral